GCUACAGGCUUAACACAUGCAAGUCGAGGGGCAUCAGGAAGAAAGCUUGCUUUCUUUGCUGGCGACCGGCGCACGGGUGAGUAACACGUAUCCAACCUGCCCUUUACUCGGGGAUAGCCUUUCGAAAGAAAGAUUAAUACCCGAUAGCAUAAUGAUUCCGCAUGGUUUCAUUACUAAAGGAUUCCGGUAAAGGAUGGGGAUGCGUUCCAUUAGGUUGUUGGUGGGGUAACGGCCCACCAAGCCUUCGAUGGAUAGGGGUUCUGAGAGGAAGGUCCCCCACAUUGGAACUGAGACACGGUCCAAACUCCUACGGGAGGCAGCAGUGAGGAAUAUUGGUCAAUGGGCGCUAGCCUGAACCAGCCAAGUAGCGUGAAGGAUGAAGGCUCUAUGGGUCGUAAACUUCUUUUAUAUAAGAAUAAAGUGCAGUAUGUAUACUGUUUUGUAUGUAUUAUAUGAAUAAGGAUCGGCUAACUCCGUGCCAGCAGCCGCGGUAAUACGGAGGAUCCGAGCGUUAUCCGGAUUUAUUGGGUUUAAAGGGAGCGUAGGUGGACUGGUAAGUCAGUUGUGAAAGUUUGCGGCUCAACCGUAAAAUUGCAGUUGAUACUGUCAGUCUUGAGUACAGUAGAGGUGGGCGGAAUUCGUGGUGUAGCGGUGAAAUGCUUAGAUAUCACGAAGAACUCCGAUUGCGAAGGCAGCUCACUGGACUGCAACUGACACUGAUGCUCGAAAGUGUGGGUAUCAAACAGGAUUAGAUACCCUGGUAGUCCACACAGUAAACGAUGAAUACUCGCUGUUUGCGAUAUACAGUAAGCGGCCAAGCGAAAGCAUUAAGUAUUCCACCUGGGGAGUACGCCGGCAACGGUGAAACUCAAAGGAAUUGACGGGGGCCCGCACAAGCGGAGGAACAUGUGGUUUAAUUCGAUGAUACGCGAGGAACCUUACCCGGGCUUAAAUUGCAGUGGAAUGAUGUGGAAACAUGUCAGUGAGCAAUCACCGCUGUGAAGGUGCUGCAUGGUUGUCGUCAGCUCGUGCCGUGAGGUGUCGGCUUAAGUGCCAUAACGAGCGCAACCCUUAUCUUUAGUUACUAACAGGUCAUGCUGAGGACUCUAGAGAGACUGCCGUCGUAAGAUGUGAGGAAGGUGGGGAUGACGUCAAAUCAGCACGGCCCUUACGUCCGGGGCUACACACGUGUUACAAUGGGGGGUACAGAAGGCAGCUAGCGGGUGACCGUAUGCUAAUCCCAAAAGCCUCUCUCAGUUCGGAUCGAAGUCUGCAACCCGACUUCGUGAAGCUGGAUUCGCUAGUAAUCGCGCAUCAGCCACGGCGCGGUGAAUACGUUCCCGGGCCUUGUACACACCGCCCGUCAAGCCAUGGGAGCCGGGGGUACCUGAAGUACGUAACCGCAAGGAUCGUCCUAGGGUAAAACUGGUGACUGG
This 1436-nucleotide ribosomal RNA is filed under the name uncultured organism. Its description in RNAcentral is "SSU rRNA". It matches the Rfam family "Bacterial small subunit ribosomal RNA". The record is from RNAcentral.